UGCACCGCAGAUGGAGGAGCCCGCGGCGCAUUAGCUAGUUGGUGGGGUAACGGCCUACCAAGGCGACGAUGCGUAGCCGACCUGAGAGGGUGGACGGCCACACUGGGACUGAGACACGGCCCAGACUCCUACGGGAGGCAGCAGUAGGGAAUCUUCCGCAAUGGGCGCAAGCCUGACGGAGCAACGCCGCGUGAGCGAAGAAGGCCUUCGGGUUGUAAAGCUCAGUCACUCGGGAAGAGCGGACGAGGGAGUGGAAAGCCCUCGCCGAGACGGUACCGAGAGAGGAAGCCCCGGCUAACUACGUG
Molecule: ribosomal RNA, 305 nt
Filed under: uncultured bacterium
Lineage: Bacteria
Description: bacterial SSU rRNA
Rfam family: Bacterial small subunit ribosomal RNA
Source: RNAcentral